CAGGCAAGCAGUGAAUCAGCCUGACAAUGAGUUUUGAACUACAACUCUGGAAUUGUUAGCUCACAACGCAGAGCUGGAAAAGGCCUCAGAAGUCAUCUACCCAACUGUGCCAUUUCACAGAUGGGAAAACUGCGGUCUAGAGGGGUGGCGGCUCGCCCAGAACUGUCUCCAACUGGAAGGAAGGAAAUCUAGUCCAAUCCUCUCAUCCUACAGAAUUCACAGAGUGCCAGAACUGGAAGGGACCUCAGAGAACAGAAGUUCAAGUCCUGUUUCCCAGAUAAGGACACCAAGACCCAGAGGGGAAAUGACUCAGCCAACAACACGCACUGUGCUGGGAGGAGACAUGUGGUUUCUGAGCUCAAGAAGGUUACAGUUUACAGGAAGAGAUGGACACUGAACCAAUAAUACCACAAAUAGAUGGAUAUUUACAAAUUUUUUAAAGAUUUUAUUUUUUUUCCUUUUUCUCCCCAAAGCCCCC
Molecule: long non-coding RNA, 478 nt
Filed under: Equus caballus (horse)
Lineage: Eukaryota; Metazoa; Chordata; Mammalia; Perissodactyla; Equidae
Description: lncRNA (ENSECAG00000030996.3)
Source: RNAcentral